This 1403-nucleotide ribosomal RNA is filed under the name Amanita submembranacea. RNAcentral describes it as "partial 28S ribosomal RNA". It matches the Rfam family "Eukaryotic large subunit ribosomal RNA", at positions 72 to 1441 of the family's 3401-position model. Lineage: Eukaryota; Fungi; Basidiomycota; Agaricomycetes; Agaricales; Amanitaceae. The record is from RNAcentral.
GGAUUCCCCUAGUAACUGCGAGUGAAGCGGGAAAAGCUCAAAUUUGAAAUCUGGCAGUCUUUUUUUUCUUCUUUGGCUGUCCGAGUUGUAAUCUAGAGAAGUGCUUACCUGCACUGGACCAUGUAUAAGUCUCCUGGAAUGGAGCCUCACAGAGGGUGAGAAUCCCGUCUUUGACAUGGACUGCCAGUGCGUUGUGGUGCGCUCUCAAAGAGUCGAGUUGUUUGGGAAUGCAGCUCUAAACGGGUGGUAAACUCCAUCUAAAGCUAAAUAUUGGCGAGAGACCGAUAGCGAACAAGUACCGUGAGGGAAAGAUGAAAAGGACUUUGGAAAGAGAGUUAAACAGUAUGUGAAAUUGUUGAAAGGGAAACGCUUGAAGUCAGUUAUGUCGGCUGGGGAUCAACCUAGCCAUUUUUUUUGGCUGGGUGAAUUUCCUAGUCUGACAGGCCAACAUCAGUCUUGACUGCCGGAAAAGAGUGGAGGGAAUGUGGCACCUUUGGGUGUGUUAUAGCCCUCCGUCAUAUGCGGCAGUCGGGACUGAGGGAUGCAGUGUGCCGCGAGGCUGGGUUUUGACCACGUUCACACUUAGGAUGUUGGCUUUUAAUGGCUCCAAUCGACCCGUCUUGAAACACGGACCAAGGAGUCUAACAUGCCUGCAAGUAUUUGGGUGGAAAACCCUUGUGCACAAUGAAAGUGAAAGUUGAGAUCCCUGUCAUGGGGAGCAUCGACGCCCGGACUUGAGCUUUUAGCGACGGAUCCGCGGUAGAGCAUGCAUGUUGGGACCCGAAAGAUGGUGAACUAUGCCUGAAUAGGGCAAAGCCAGAGGAAACUCUGGUGGAGGCUCGUAGCGAUUCUGACGUGCAAAUCGAUCGUCAAAUUUGGGUAUAGGGGCGAAAGACUAAUCGAACCAUCUAGUAGCUGGUUCCUGCCGAAGUUUCCCUCAGGAUAGCAGAAGCUCAUUGUCAGAUUUAUGUGGUAAAGCGAAUGAUUAGAGGCCUUGGGGUUGAAACAACCUUAACCUAUUCUCAAACUUUAAAUAUGUAAGAACGAGCUGUCACUUGAUUGGACUGCUCGGCGAUUGAGAGCUUCUAGUGGGCCAUUUUUGGUAAGCAGAACUGGCGAUGCGGGAUGAACCGAUCGCAAGGUUAAGGUGCCGGAGUUCACGCUCAUCAGACACCACAAAAGGUGUUAGUUCAUCUAGACAGCAGGACGGUGGCCAUGGAAGUCGGAACCCGCUAAGGAGUGUGUAACAACUCACCUGCCGAAUGAACUAGCCCUGAAAAUGGAUGGCGCUUAAGCGUGACACCCAUACCUUGCUGUCAGUGUUGAAGUGAUGCGCUGACAAGUAGGCAGGCGUGGAGGUCAGUGAAGAAGCCUAGGCAGCGAUGCUGGGUGAACGGCCUCUA